Long non-coding RNA from Lagopus muta (rock ptarmigan), 4179 nucleotides. RefSeq lists it as uncharacterized. Lineage: Eukaryota; Metazoa; Chordata; Aves; Galliformes; Phasianidae. The record is from RefSeq and is a predicted model, not a curated record. The transcript has 4 exons.
CUCUCCUCUCUGUCUGCCCCUUUCUCUCUCUGUCUUCUCUUGCUGUUAAACAAUGACUGCAGGCAGACUAAAAGUAAUAUUUAUAAACUUUGUUGUGAUCAUUUGCCAGACUCAAUAUUUCAUCCAGCACAGCUGUUUUACUCCCCCAUUACGUACACCAGAUGCUGUAAUACUGUUCCUAAUUUAAGUGAGGGGUGUUCAGCUAAAGGCUGCUGCGGGUUCCCAUGCCAUAGAGCACUGACUUGCAGCUCAGCAGCACAUCUCUCCAGUAAACACCUCUGCAUGGGAACUGCUGAAUCACAGCCUGAACCAAUUGACCACCUGAGAUGAGCAAAAAGUCAGCCCUGGGAGCAGGUGAAGGCCUUGCUCCACCUCUCCAAGAUGCCUUUUAAGAGCUGACUCCCAGCAGGGAUGGAUUUCUUUUAGAGAUUGCUCCUCUUUGAGUCUUCUCAGUGAACCCAGGACAAGGAAAGAAAGGCUCCAAUGCAGUUCUGUAUAAAAGGCAAAAAGCACAUUUUCCCCUGAAACGUGGACCACAGCUGGAAGCAUUACUGUCCUUCAAGCAAAGAUUCCAAGCUGAGUUCACCAAACCCCAAAAGGAGGGAACUGUAAAAUAUAAAGCAAGUGCAAGUUCAAGAAAAGUCUGGAAAGCCUAGAGAGAUUGACACAAGGCAGACAGCCAGAAUUUCUUCCAAUUUACUGGGAAGAAGUUUUAUUGAGAUGUAUGAACGUGCUUGAACGUGGGAUUUUGAAGGCUGUUACCAAACCUAUGCAUAACAACAGCUAGAACAAUACAGUCAGGGUUGAAUGCUGUUCUCCCACUGAUACACCAAUAUUUGCCUGAAUAAAUACAUCUCAAGAGGAAAAGAGAAGGAAGAGUGCCCAAUAAGGUGCCCCUCUGUAUGCGCCAUGAACUCACAGACUGUAAUCAUGCUGCCCACAGCGUGUGUUGGACAUCCAGCAGUGCACAUCCAUGUCACACAGCCACAGACUGGAUGAGACUGGAAGGGAGCUCUGGAGGUCACCUCAUCCAACCUCCCUGCUCAGGAGGAGCCACUCAUCUCCAGGCGGCUUCUGAGCAUCUCUAAGGGUGCAGCAGCUCUGUGUUGGGAGAGGGGGCAGAGGUUGUGUAGCAUGGGAUCAGAGGGAUGUGCUCUACAUCCUAAAUACUACUUCAUCGUAGUAAAAAAUGAUGUUGGACUCAAAGGUGUAGGUGAUGAAAUGGCUGUGACAGUUAAGACUUGUCUCCCACAUAAUUUCUCUGGCUAUGGAGAACUGAAUUACACAGAAGUUUCUGCAUUCUGUCCUGUUCUGUUCCUGCAUCUUGCUCUUAACUGGAAUUUUUGAGGUGCUUUCUGAAGAGUUGCUGUGAGGCACUUACUGUAAAAAAGAACUUGAUCUAGCUCAGAAGGGACAGAAGCAUCACUUGGACAGGGGGAAACAACUCUGCACUUCUUGGCACCCCUGGCUCUGGGUGUAGAGCACUUGGUGGUAGGUGGGCUUGUGUGUGUAAAACUGCUCCAGAAUGUUUGCUGUGCAAAACUUUCCCUGAAGGAACAACCUCUGAUUUAGAUCUGAGCAAUGCAGGGGCUCUAGUUUAAGAAGUGUCUGUAGGAGAGAGAGUCUGUGUAGGAGAUUUCAUACUAUACUGAAUUUCCUUGUUUUUCAUAUGAAUAAAAACCCUCGUAUGGUGGAUUUUUGUGUAAUCUAAUUAAGAGCCACCUGAAAAUGAAGAAGCUUGGUUGGCUUGUUUAAAAAGAACAGAACAACCAUAAAAUGGGCACCAGGAUGGCUGGAAUCUAAUCAAAAUUAGGUGUUUUUUAUGCUGAGCUUGUCUUUAAGUACUGACAGGGAAAAGCCAGAAAGCUUCAUCAGAAAAAGAAAGAAGGCAGCUAGAAGAAAAGAUCCUUCAAAAAAUGGUGUCCAAAGAAGAAAAAAUGGAAAAUAUGAUAAACUCUGACAUGUUAGGUAUAAAACUAAAGUAAAGCAAGUCAAAAGAAGAUACUGAGGAACAAUUUUCUAAUGGCAUAAAAACCACUAAUAACUUUUUCCCAGUGUGUGAGAGGCAAGGAUCCUGCCCGUGUCUAUAGGGCCACCUGAUGAUGAAGUUGUAAAAGAAGCACAUGAAAGAUAACACAGAGCAAAGCUCUAUCAAUUCUUUUCCUUACUGCUUACAGAGGUGCCUAGGGAUGUUCCCACACAGGACCUUCUUUAUGGGGAACGAAUCUGAGAAACUGCCUCCAAUUCAAGCACUGGAAAAAUGUUUUUUAAUAUAAACUGAUAAACAAAUUCACUGGAGUCAGUCAGAAAUCAUGGCUGAAUACCGUGGUGACUUGAAUUGUCAGGGUCAUCAUUUAAAUCUGUGCUGUCUCACAGGGAUGAGACGUCGCAAAUAUCAUUUCAUUUUUAAGGAGCCCUCCUUAAAGAGUCCUUCAGGGGCCUCCUUGCAGGGCUACAGACAAACGGACACGUGGAAGUAGCUUUGUCCUUACCACCCCCCCAAAAAACAGGACUGAAAAAUUGAGCUGUCUGUUAGAGUUUGUUUUGCUGUCACUCCUAUAAACAGGAUAAGGUGAUUGCAAAUUCAUUGAUGUUCCAUCAAAUGUUAAUUAAAAUGGCUUUGCAGAUAUCAUUGAACCGGGGAAUGCCUCAAUAUCCUCCUGGAAGCAAAAGGAAGUACAGCUCAGAAGGUGCUUAUCUUCCCCAAGGAGUCUGCUCCUGGUCACUGUCCAUAGCACAAGAUGAAGUCAAGGUGAGACAGUGACAUUAUUUGUGUUACGCUCAGAUUGGAGCCUCCUCUUGUAAGAGCACAGAUUUUCUGAAUUUAAGUUACUCCAGAGUCUGUGAGCUUAAAUACGAAGAGUCAACUUAUUAAUGCAGCAGUUCCUUGUUUAUACAUUUAAGCUUUAACAUCAGCCCUGGCAACAGCAUAAAACACAAUCAAAUUGUAUUUGUGCAGUGAUUAUUCUUGUCCUGUGUAAUUACUGGUCCCUCAGAUAAAAUCUCAAGCUACUUUAUUGAAGCUGGGAAUUGAAACCACAGAGAGAAUCGGCUAUCUAUGUACAUCAAUAAAGCGGUCCAUUAAUUAUUUCCACCUACUCAACUUGAAGAAAAUUACCAUACUAAUGCCUCUGGGUAACCACAUGACCUGCUCUGCUUCUCCAUAACAGCUAAACGUAAAGUCAUAAAGGCUCUGAGAGAUAAAUCGGGGACACUAAAGAAAUGGCAGCACAGAAUGGCAUUCAGGGAAGUAAUUGGUCACAGAAAUCUCCAGACAGCAUUAACAUCAGACAGAAUCACAAUGCCUUCAAACUUCAGAACUGAAAGUAUUCCGAUUUCUUUUCAACAAGCAGAAAGUUAAUAGCUGAAAUAUAUCACCAAGAAUUAGACAGCAUCUCAUUAUUCAAAAUGUGAUGAAAAGUAAAAAUUUUCACCAAUCAAUCUUGAAACAUUUCAGAAAGUAAAAAUCGAACAGAGGUCAACGGCAGCGGAUCACGUAUGAGUAGUUUCAUACUGGUCUGUUCAAAUGCCAUCUUCCUUGAUGGAAUCCCUUGAAGGACUCUCAAUGACAGAAAAAGUUCACAGCUGCAUUGGCAAACCAAGGGGGAAAAAACAACAGAAGGGGCAUGGAAGGGGUUAAGAUUCUGGAAAUACACUUUUAUUUUUUGCUGUACGUUUAAUACAGGCACCCUGCAAUACCUUUCUCAAUUUUCCUUUUAAAUUAUAGCCGCUCAAUUCUGCCUAAUUAAGCAUUUUCUUUAAUGAUAAGGGUAUUGCCUGAGAAGAGGUAUUUAGUAAUCACAAUUAGUGACCUCUAAGCCUGCAAGGCAUUUGCUUAUUUUCAUAUAAAUAUUUGGGAUACCAGCAUAGAAAACAGCAUUAUUUUCUUUGUUGCACUGAUUAAAAUAGACUGAUUCACAUUCAUAAACUAUGCUAAUCAUAAAAUAAACAGCAGUUACACUAUAGUAUGUAAUUGGAUUUUAUGUGCCACAGUGUGGUCAGUUAAUGCAUACAAUAAAGCUGAAGAAUCAGGCGGUACUUUAAUCUUUCCUGAAAAAUGGAUCAGCUGCUUAUAGGUGAUUUUCACACCUCUCAUGUAUCUGUAGGCACAGUCCUAUCCAACUCCAAGACUGAGCAACUCCAGGGCUCAGCUCCACUGUCCCUCCAGAGCCAUUGGUG